RNAcentral lists this long non-coding RNA (308 nucleotides) under Mytilus galloprovincialis (Mediterranean mussel). The record is from RNAcentral. Lineage: Eukaryota; Metazoa; Mollusca; Bivalvia; Mytilida; Mytilidae.
UCGUAGUCUUAUAAGGGAGCUACCAUUUGAUUUUUAUGGGGGGGCUAGGAUGAAAUUUGAAAAAAAUAGGCAGGACAGGAGUUUUGAGUAAAAAAAAGGCAGGAUGAGACACUUGCAAAAAAAAAAAAGUCAGGACGACAAUUUAGGUAAAAAAAAGUCAGGAUAAACUAAAAAAAAAAAAGGCAGGACCGAACAGAGUGAAAAAUAAAAAGGCAGGACAGAGAUUACAGCUAAAAAAAAAUGCAGGACAAAAUUUUUCAUCCUAGCCCCCCCAUAAAAAUCAAAUGGUAGCUCCCUAAGUUUGAGUA